This 429-nucleotide ribosomal RNA is filed under the name Pseudomonadota bacterium. RNAcentral describes it as "Proteobacteria bacterium partial 16S ribosomal RNA". It matches the Rfam family "Bacterial small subunit ribosomal RNA", at positions 355 to 776 of the family's 1533-position model. Lineage: Bacteria; Pseudomonadati; Pseudomonadota. The record is from RNAcentral.
UGGGGAAUAUUGGACAAUGGGCGAAAGCCUGAUCCAGCCAUGCCGCGUGUGUGAAGAAGGUCUUCGGAUUGUAAAGCACUUCAAGUUGGGGGGAAGGGCAGUAAGCGAAUACCUUGCUGUUUUGACGUUACCGACAGAAUAAGCACCGGCUAACUCUGUGCCAGCAGCCGCGGUAAUACAGAGGGUGCAAGCGUUAAUCGGAAUUACUGGGCGUAAAGCGCGCGUAGGUGGUUCGUUAAGUUGAAUGUGAAAGCCCCGGGCUCAACCUGGGAACUGCAUCCAAAACUGGCGAGCUAGAGUAGGGCAGAGGGUGGUGGAAUUUCCUGUGUAGCGGUGAAAUGCGUAGAUAUAGGAAGGAACACCAGUGGCGAAGGCGACCACCUGGGCUCAUACUGACACUGAGGUGCGAAAGCGUGGGGAGCAAACAGG